This 497-nucleotide ribosomal RNA is filed under the name uncultured bacterium. RNAcentral describes it as "partial 16S ribosomal RNA". It matches the Rfam family "Bacterial small subunit ribosomal RNA", at positions 28 to 507 of the family's 1533-position model. The record is from RNAcentral.
GACGAACGCUGGCGGCGUGCCUAAUACAUGCAAGUUGAGCGCUGAAGGAUGGUACUUGUACCAACUGGAUGAGCAGCGAACGGGUGAGUAACGCGUGGGGAAUCUGCCUUUGAGUGGGGGACAAUAUCUGGAAACGAAUGCUAAUACCGCAUAAAAACUUUAAACACAAGUUUUAAGUUUGAAAGAUGCAAUUGCAUCACUCAAAGAUGAUCCCGCGUUGUAUUAGCUAGUUGGUGAGGUAAAGGCUCACCAAGGCGGUGAUACAUAGCCGACCUGAGAGGGUGAUCCGCCACAUUGGGACUGAGACACGGCCCAAACUCCUACGGGAGGCAGCAGUAGGGGAUCAUCGGCAAUGGACGAAAGGCUGGACGAAGAACGCCGCGGGAGUGGAGAAGGGUUUCGGAUCGGAAAACUCUGUUGGUAGAGAAGAACAUUGGUGAGAGUGGAAAGCUCAUCAAGUGACGGUAACUACCCAGAAAGCGACGGCUAACUACGUG